This 801-nucleotide ribosomal RNA is filed under the name uncultured bacterium. Its description in RNAcentral is "bacterial SSU rRNA". It matches the Rfam family "Bacterial small subunit ribosomal RNA", at positions 66 to 881 of the family's 1533-position model. The record is from RNAcentral.
AGGAGCCUCAGUGCUUGCACAGAGGAUUUCCUAGUGGCGAACGGGUGAGUAACGCGUUGGUGACCUGCCCCGAAGAGGGGAUAACUCCGGGAAACUGGAGCUAAUACCCCAUGUGGUCAUAGUUUUUAGAAAACUAUGUCUAAAGGAGUAAUCCGCUUCGGGAGGGGCCUGCGUCCCAUCAGCUAGUUGGUAGGGUAAUGGCCUACCAAGGCAUACGGGUAGGGGACCUGAGAGGGUGGCCCCCCACACUGGAACUGAAACACGGUCCAGACACCUACGGGUGGCAGCAGUAGGGAAUAUUGCACAAUGGGCGAAAGCCUGAUGCAGCAACGCCGCGUGCGCGAUGAAGGCCUUCGGGUUGUAAAGCGCUUUUCUGAGGGAAGAGGAAGGACUGUACCUCAGGAAUAAGUCUCGGCUAACUACGUGCCAGCAGCCGCGGUAACACGUAGGAGGCAAGCGUUAUCCGGAUUUACUGGGCGUAAAGCGCGUGUAGGCGGCUUGGCAAGUCGGAUGUGAAAGCUCCUGGCUCAACUGGGAGAGGUCGUUCGAAACUGCCAGGCUCGAGGACGGUAGAGGGAGGUGGAAUUCCCGGUGUAGUAGUGAAAUGCGUAGAUAUCGGGAGGAACACCAGUGGCGAAGGCGGCCUCCUGGGCCGUUCCUGACGCUAAGACGCGAAAGCAUGGGUAGCAAACGGGAUUAGAAACCCCGGUAGUCCAUGCCGUAAACGAUGCGAACUUGGUGUCGGUGGUGUAAAAACUGUCGGUGCCGAAGCUAACGCGAUAAGUUCGCCGCCUGGGGAUU